Long non-coding RNA from Triticum dicoccoides, 1465 nucleotides. RefSeq lists it as uncharacterized. The record is from RefSeq and is a predicted model, not a curated record. NCBI's taxonomy places the organism in Eukaryota, Viridiplantae, Streptophyta, Magnoliopsida, Poales, Poaceae. The transcript has 9 exons.
CCAAAAUGCAGAGAGGCAAGGUUUAUUUUCCUGGAGGUCCUAUAUUGCAGCUGGUGCUAUUUUGUUAUGUCAAAUUGUGUAUUUUUCCAGCUUCCCUUCCUCAUGUAUGAGCUUGUCUAUGGUGGGAUGGGGAUUCGGAGGAUAAAUGUUAUGGCAGUAAGGAGGUCAAGCGUGAGACGUCACAUGUCAAGGGGAUUUACUAUUUAGUCUCUUCUAAUCAGGUGAAGAGAUACUGCUGGUUUAAACGGAAUCCAUACUUUAACAUGAUUUCUCCCAAUUCAACAAAGUCAGGUACUACUCAUGUUCUUUCAUGCUAUGGAGCUACUCGAGGCAGCAGAACAUUAUCCCACACGGAGAUGGGGAUGGCCAUGCCCGUGCUGAUGCCGUCGGCCGUCGGUGAGAGCAUCACCGUCAACAACGGCUCCAGCGACCUCUCCAGGAGCUUCUCCAUGAGCUCCUCGGGUGACACCAACUCCAACAUCAUGUUCUUCACGCCCGGAAGCAAAAAAGCGAAGGUGCUCAUCGACAGCGACGAUGGCAUGGUCACCAGCCUCAGCAAAAUCGAAUCCCAAUUUGGCAUGUCAACCACGUCUUUAGACAUGUCCGGCAUGGACGACUAUCUGCAACUGCAGCAAUACUUCAUCGCCUACACAGUCUGCACCAAGCGUGGCUGCGCCACUCACCCACGAAGCAUCGCUGAGAGGAUUAGAAAGAAGAGCAAGGAAUAGCAAGAGGCUAAGGAGGCUGCAAGACCUCGUGCCCAAUAUGGACAAGGUAACUAAAUCAGUUGAAUUGAUGCACACUGUCAAUUCUGUCACCAUAAAGUUGGGUGCCAUCUGGCAUCUGCAGAGUAUCAAAGCUUCUUCUAGAUCAAAGAAAGCUAAUCCAGAAUCAACCAUAGUCAAUGCAAGAAGGUUAUACAGGGCAGAUGAUAUUUCAUCAGAGAGGUAUACUACAGUGAAAAUAUAAUAAGUGUGCCAGUUUGUGAUGGUUGAGGGGAAAUGUGAGGUUAUAGCAAAGAAUGACAUUCCAAAUUCAAAUCUUCCGGUAGUGGUUGAGCAUGCCUUUUACUGUGAACAUUUAUAUGAUCCUGAUGCUGGAGCUCUUAAGCAGCUACCGACAAAUGUUAAGCUCAUGACCUUGACAAGGAAGGCGCAUGCUGCAAAAAAGAAUGAAGGCAAGUAGAUUUGUGACGAUGAGCAAGCUGGUUCAGACAAACAGAACGCAACACCAGAGAACUGUCUUGCAACCCUUGAUAUUUUUGCUGGCUGUGGAGGUUUGUCUGAAGGGUAGUAGCUAUCUGUACUGGCGCACCAUGUACAAAUUGGGCAAUUGGAUAUGAAGAACCUGCCAGGCAAGCAUUUGGUGAAAAUCAUCCAGAGGCAGUGGCAUUAGUGGAGAACUGCAAUGUGAUUCUAAAGUUGUGGUCAGGGAGGCAAAGCGAAGGGCAACCUCCGGAGUGUCG